Molecule: ribosomal RNA, 205 nt
Filed under: uncultured bacterium
Lineage: Bacteria
Description: partial 16S ribosomal RNA
Rfam family: Bacterial small subunit ribosomal RNA
Source: RNAcentral
CGCAGGCGGGCGAUCAAGUUGGAAGUGAAAUCCAUGGGCUCAACCCAUGAACUGCUUUCAAAACUGGUCGUCUUGAGUAGUGCAGAGGUAGGCGGAAUUCCCGGUGUAGCGGUGGAAUGCGUAGAUAUCGGGAGGAACACCAGUGGCGAAGGCGGCCUACUGGGCACCAACUGACGCUGAGGCUCGAAAGUGUGGGUAGCAAACA